This 1548-nucleotide ribosomal RNA is filed under the name Neisseria gonorrhoeae. RNAcentral describes it as "bacterial SSU rRNA". It matches the Rfam family "Bacterial small subunit ribosomal RNA". The record is from RNAcentral. Lineage: Bacteria; Pseudomonadati; Pseudomonadota; Betaproteobacteria; Neisseriales; Neisseriaceae.
AUUGAACAUAAGAGUUUGAUCCUGGCUCAGAUUGAAUGCUGGCGGCAUGCUUUACACAUGCAAGUCGGACGGCAGCACAGGGAAGCUUGCUUCUCGGGUGGCGAGUGGCGAACGGGUGAGUAACAUAUCGGAACGUACCGGGUAGCGGGGGAUAACUGAUCGAAAGAUCAGCUAAUACCGCAUACGUCUUGAGAGGGAAAGCAGGGGACCUUCGGGCCUUGCGCUAUCCGAGCGGCCGAUAUCUGAUUAGCUGGUUGGCGGGGUAAAGGCCCACCAAGGCGACGAUCAGUAGCGGGUCUGAGAGGAUGAUCCGCCACACUGGGACUGAGACACGGCCCAGACUCCUACGGGAGGCAGCAGUGGGGAAUUUUGGACAAUGGGCGCAAGCCUGAUCCAGCCAUGCCGCGUGUCUGAAGAAGGCCUUCGGGUUGUAAAGGACUUUUGUCAGGGAAGAAAAGGCCGUUGCCAAUAUCGGCGGCCGAUGACGGUACCUGAAGAAUAAGCACCGGCUAACUACGUGCCAGCAGCCGCGGUAAUACGUAGGGUGCGAGCGUUAAUCGGAAUUACUGGGCGUAAAGCGGGCGCAGACGGUUACUUAAGCAGGAUGUGAAAUCCCCGGGCUCAACCCGGGAACUGCGUUCUGAACUGGGUGACUCGAGUGUGUCAGAGGGAGGUGGAAUUCCACGUGUAGCAGUGAAAUGCGUAGAGAUGUGGAGGAAUACCGAUGGCGAAGGCAGCCUCCUGGGAUAACACUGACGUUCAUGUCCGAAAGCGUGGGUAGCAAACAGGAUUAGAUACCCUGGUAGUCCACGCCCUAAACGAUGUCAAUUAGCUGUUGGGCAACUUGAUUGCUUGGUAGCGUAGCUAACGCGUGAAAUUGACCGCCUGGGGAGUACGGUCGCAAGAUUAAAACUCAAAGGAAUUGACGGGGACCCGCACAAGCGGUGGAUGAUGUGGAUUAAUUCGAUGCAACGCGAAGAACCUUACCUGGUUUUGACAUGUGCGGAAUCCUCCGGAGACGGAGGAGUGCCUUCGGGAGCCGUAACACAGGUGCUGCAUGGCUGUCGUCAGCUCGUGUCGUGAGAUGUUGGGUUAAGUCCCGCAACGAGCGCAACCCUUGUCAUUAGUUGCCAUCAUUCGGUUGGGCACUCUAAUGAGACUGCCGGUGACAAGCCGGAGGAAGGUGGGGAUGACGUCAAGUCCUCAUGGCCCUUAUGACCAGGGCUUCACACGUCAUACAAUGGUCGGUACAGAGGGUAGCCAAGCCGCGAGGCGGAGCCAAUCUCACAAAACCGAUCGUAGUCCGGAUUGCACUCUGCAACUCGAGUGCAUGAAGUCGGAAUCGCUAGUAAUCGCAGGUCAGCAUACUGCGGUGAAUACGUUCCCGGGUCUUGUACACACCGCCCGUCACACCAUGGGAGUGGGGGAUACCAGAAGUAGGUAGGGUAACCGCAAGGAGCCCGCUUACCACGGUAUGCUUCAUGACUGGGGUGAAGUCGUAACAAGGUAGCCGUAGGGGAACCUGCGGCUGGAUCACCUCCUUUCUAG